Molecule: long non-coding RNA, 314 nt
Organism: Poeciliopsis prolifica (blackstripe livebearer)
Lineage: Eukaryota; Metazoa; Chordata; Actinopteri; Cyprinodontiformes; Poeciliidae
Exons: 4
Source: RefSeq, a predicted model, not a curated record
GUUGCAUUGUGGGAAAUUUACCGGCUGGAGGCUUUAAACGGGAUCAAUAAUCACUUCGACCCGCGGUGGCAGCGCUGCACCAAGAACUACUGAAGCAAACUACACAAAACUUCAGAACUCACUGAGCACAACUUCUGUCUUCACAACAGAACUUGAACAUGUUUGCCAUGGAAACAGGUGAAGGUGCAAUGUGAACGUCUCUCCUACUUCGUUUUGUCAGACUAGAGCAGCAGGAGAUGCACAAGAUGUGAGCAGGGAAGGACAGCACAAGGUGAAGCGAGCAGCAGAGACGGCAGAGUGAAGUGAACCUGAAG